ACGGCUCGGCCACUGCAGAUGCUCUCUGAUCUGGAUCCGGGGAGGAUGCGCGUGCCGCUGCUGCCGCUUCACUUGCAGGCACGCGCCUUGAAUCGUCGAUGAAGCACGAGAGCAAACCGAGAGCAGCCGACAGCUGAAGAUAGGUUGACCAAUAAACCACAUUGAAGAAGAGGAAAGAGAAGGGGAAGAGAGCUCUUGCAUAGAGGUCGACGCGCUUAGCAGCAGCAGCAAGCAAACCCCACUGCUAUCCAUAGGAACCAGCUAACCAGGACAGCGAGCAGCCGAAACAACCUACUCUCCACUCCACACGACUGUUAGACGACAGCAGGUCUAGACAAGCACCUCAAGCUACAUCUUUACGACUGGACAUGGCCAUUAUAUCAGAGGCCAGAAGGUUUUAUUAGUAAUAAAACUGAAAUAUUCCCUGGGAAGAUUGUAAAGAAUGUCAAAAACAUAAAUACUGAGGACAAAAAUGUGAUUGAUUUAUUUUUCAGUUUUAAUGUGACCUAUUAUGCUUCCUUGAACAGGUUAGGAAAGGUGUAUGGGUUAUACAAAACACAUUCAUAAAAUUUUUUGCACUAAUUCAUUUUUAGAUAAUGAGAUUUUAAUCUGUUCAGUUUGGAUGUCCUUUGAGAAUGAGCUGUUUUAGGGCGUCUUGUCACUUUAAAUUCAAAUGAGUCCCUCUGGGGAUUGCUGGGGGUUACUAGGUAACGAGCUGAGCUCCUUGGGGGUUGCUAGGUAACGGACAGUGCCUGCUGAUUUGUGUCGUUACAUUCCGGAGGUUUUUGAAAUGGCCCAUUUUCCAGACACCAAAAAACAUGAACUUACUGCCAAAACUUGUUGGGAGUGUUUUUUUAAGCACUUGGGCUAUUUUUAGAACCAUUAGAAAUCCAAGUACAAGUAUAAAAAUGUGCAAAAUGUGAAUUUUGCAUAACAUAUCUCCUUUAAUUUGUGCCGUCCACUAACAGAUGAUAUGUGGUUAUCAGUGGAACUCAUUACAUCCAUCAUAAUGUUAUACCUGAUUGGUGUGAAUUCUGCUUUGUUCUGACAAAAUGAUUUUGUGAUUUACGAUUUGUUUAUUUCAACUUCAUACGACUUGUGAGUUGGAAGAUAAAUUUAACAUCAAUAAGUAUUACAGGUCUGAAAAUGGGUGAAUGAAGCCAAAACCAACAUAGUGUAUAUGUGUGCUUGUGCUCACCAAGUGGUA
This is a long non-coding RNA of Xiphophorus couchianus (Monterrey platyfish), 1207 nucleotides long. RefSeq lists it as uncharacterized. The record is from RefSeq and is a predicted model, not a curated record. Lineage: Eukaryota; Metazoa; Chordata; Actinopteri; Cyprinodontiformes; Poeciliidae. The transcript is spliced from 3 exons.